Molecule: ribosomal RNA, 537 nt
Filed under: Trigonopterus robertsi
Lineage: Eukaryota; Metazoa; Arthropoda; Insecta; Coleoptera; Curculionidae
Description: partial large subunit ribosomal RNA
Rfam family: Archaeal large subunit ribosomal RNA
Source: RNAcentral
GGCUUAUUGGUUAUAAUUUUAAGUUUUGGUCUGCCCAAUGAUGAGUUAAAUGGCCGCGGUAAAUUGACUGUGCAAAGGUAGCAUAAUCACUAGUUUUUUAAUUGGAAGCUUGAAUGAAAGGCUUGAUGAAAAAAUUUCUGUCUCUGUCUAAAUUUAUUAGAAGUUUAUUUUUAAGUUAAAAAGCUUAAAUUUGCGUUGAAGACGAGAAGACCCUAUAGAGUUUAAUAUUUGUGGGGAUAGUGGAUUUUUUAGUAUUGGUGUGUCAUUAUCUGUAUGAGUAUUUGGUUGGGGUGAUUUAAAAAUUUGAUAAACUUUUUUUUAAGUGUUACAUUGAUUUAUGGGUAAAUGAUCCUUAAUUAGAGAUUGAAAGAGCAAAUUACCUUAGGGAUAACAGCGUAAUUUUUCUUAGAGUUCUUAUCGAAAGAAAAGUUUGCGACCUCGAUGUUGGAUUAAAAAAAAAUGUUGGCGCAGGAGUUAGCAAGUUAGGUCUGUUCGACCUUUAGAUUUUUACAUGAUCUGAGUUUAGACCGGUGUGAG